Molecule: long non-coding RNA, 11533 nt
Filed under: Homo sapiens (human)
Lineage: Eukaryota; Metazoa; Chordata; Mammalia; Primates; Hominidae
Description: long intergenic non-protein coding RNA 1934
Source: RNAcentral
UUAGUAUUCAGAGAAUGACCUGAACUUAGCUGUGUUAAGUUGCCUGCUCCACAGGAAACCACCUCUGUAACUGUUGCUUGCUGCUUUCUCUUUAGGCAACACCCAAAGCCACUGUCAGAUGUCAUGGAGAUGAGACCUCACAAGCCUACUCAACGUGAAGAUGAUGAGAAUGAAGACCUUUAUGAUGAUCUGCUUCCACUUAAAGAAUAAACCCUGAGGUAUCAUGAAGAAAUCCAUAUGCCCUGAAGUUACCAUCCUAGAGACAUCAUUUGGAGAGACUACAGUGCACAGAAGUAGAGAGGCCCAGCUGUGCCUGUCCCCAACUGAUGGAGUCUUCUCAGUGUCAGUCACCAGACAUUUGACUGCAGGUAACUGAAACUGCGGAAAGUGAAACUGCAGAUAAGAGGGACCACUGUAAAUAAGUGACAUGAAUGAUACUGCAAAGGACCAUAGCCUAACCAGCCAAGCAAACUGGAAGUACCUUUAGACUCACGCUUUGCCAAGCUCAGUUCCAGAAUCACAUGAUGAAAAGAAUGAUGGAAAGAAAAUGUUUGUGAUAUUAAAAUUAAGGAAAUUACUCCAACUCAGAGUUUCAUCCUAAACUGAGAGACCAACAUCAAAAGAAUCUUCUCAAGUUUCUGAGUGACGGCAAGAAACUAGACUACUGUUACCAAGGAACUUUUUAAAGCAAACUGCUUUUGCUGAUAUGAGGAGAAAGUUAAUUAAUAAGAAAAUACCUUAAAUGUGUUUUGAAGCUGUUAAAGGUGUGUAACAAUUACUCUGAAUUUAUUAUAGCACCAGUUAGAGACCCAGGAAAACUAUAAAAUUGCACAUCAGGGCAGAGCUGAGAGACGACAUCUGCUUUGGGAUUGAAAAAAAAAAAAAAAAAAAAAAAAACAGAAAGGGAACAAGAGAAAUAGCAAGUCAUUUAACAUUUGGAAUUCAGGACUCCAGACUCAUCUAUAGGACCAAACUGCUCUUGAAAUAUACUAGAUUUCCUUUAGCUCCAGAGGUUUUGCCUUCAUCAAAUGCCUGUAACACUCUUAUUGUCAAAAGGAAUAAGUGAUGGUGAACACUGUGCCAGAUAGGAGGUACCACACACAGGUUCAGCAAAAAGCAGAAGCAAGAGGUAUAUUUUUUGUUAGAUCUUAGUUCAUCCCUAUGUAACAGACAUUUCAGGGAAGGGAGGAGAAAAUAACAAAGCUACCUAUGAGCAAAGGUAAAUGGGAUUCCCUAUCCUUGUUUCCCAGUUUCGGUCAUGGUAUUGCUUAUCCAUUAUUAGUUAUCCACUGCUGGGUAACAAAUUACUCCCAAACUUAGCAGCUUCAAACAACAAUAAACAUGUAUUAUGUCACAUAGUUUGUUUCAGAACUUUGGGAGUGGCUUAGCUGAAUGGUUGUAGCUCCAGGUGCUUUUUGUGGUUGCAGUCAAGAAGUCAGCCCAUUCACACAGCUGCAGACAAAAGGACUCGGUUCCUUGCAGGCUGAGGCCUGAUUAGGCAGGGGGCCUGAGUGUCUCGCCACAUGGACCUCUCCAUAGGGCUGCUUUUCGUGGCAUGGCAGCUGACUCCCCUCAGAACAGAUGAUCAAAAGCAGCAAAAGAGAAGCCUCACAUGACUUUUGCCCUAGCCUUGGGAAUCACACUCUUCCAUUUCUACAAAAUCCUAUUGGUUACAUAGCAGCCCUAUCCAGUGUGGGAGGGAACUGUAUACAGGCAUGAAUACCAGGAGUGGAAAACCACUAGAGACUGGCUACCAUGGUCACUUACACACCAACAUGAAACUUUCAGCCUUUCCACCUCCUACCACUUAUACUAUAUUUAAUGUUUUUCCUGUUAUGGACUUUAAAAAAGAGGUCAUCAUAAGCAAUAAUAUCCAUGAAAUCAUGGAUAUCAUGUGAUCUUUAUAUUUAUUUUUAUUUUUAUAUAUUAAUUUCCAAAUAAAAAUAGAACUAUUAAAACAAAAUGUAUGUUAUCUUCUCAUAGCAAGUCAAGCAUCAGCAGUGUUAUACAUACUACCGUUUGUGAAGUACCACUAGCCACAAGCUCAAGCUGUUCUUGCUUGAGGGAGAUCUUUAUAAGCUCAGUGUAAGUCAGGAGGCAUUUGUUUCACAUGCCAUCCUCACUUACACUAAAUUCCCUAGAAGUCCAAGGUAAUAGUACUUGGGGAUAGGCUACAAUGCUACAACAAAGCCAUUUGCUAUGGUGGUUAUAACUGUCACUUGCCAGCCAUCGUUUGUAAUUACUUAAAACAGAAACAGUUUAAAGAAUUAAACCAGAAGGGUAAAGCAGAUUGUUCUCAGGACGUAAAACUAAACUCACCUUAUUAUGUAUUGUUACACUCCUGUCCACUUUCAUUACCAAAGGCAAUAAAGCAAUUUUAACUGUUCCCUGGAAUGUCACCAGCAAUAAGUGGUUUUGUUUUACUGUUCUGUUGAGCCGAAUAUAAUAGUUAUAUUUUAGAUCUCUUGCAACUGGGGAAUCUAGAAAUGCUUUCUGGUCUUUGUGAAUUUAUUAAAAUAUUUGAUUUGGGUAACCUUGGUGUUACUUUAAGUAUAGUCAGGGAAAUCAUGUCAUAAUCACUGAGUUUCAUUAGCGACUGGCCCUUUUUAAUCAUAAAAUUCAGUGUUCUGAAACCUAUUGCCUGUUCUGUCCUACACUUGUGACUUUGUCUCUUCUCUUGAUUGUACAGCCAUGAGCCCUCAUUAUGCUUUCCUGAGGGUGUUGUAUUUACUGGUGUCCUUCAUUGCCAAAGGUGACAAGGCAGGGAAUGUAAGAGUACAGCUGGCGGGAAGAAUCUCUAUUCCGAGUACACGGAGCAUGUCCCAUACUUCAGCCUGCAGAGCCCGUGACUACUAGCAGGGUCAAAAUUGUGUCAUUUAGGCUGGGCGCAGUGGCUUGCACCUGUAAUCCUGGCACUUUGGGAGGCAAAGGUGGGUGGAUCGCUUGAGCCCAGGAGUUUGAGACCAGCCUGGGCAACAUGGCGAAACCCCAUCUCUACUAAAACAUACACACACACACACACACACACACACACACACACACACACACAACUAGCCAGGCGUGGUAGCACAUGUCUGUGAUCCCAGCUAUGCAGGAGGCUGAGGCAUGAGAAUCUCUUGGACCCAGGAGGUGGAGGUUGCAGUGAGCCAAGAUCACGCCACGACACUAUAGCCUGGGUGACAGAGCUAGAUGAUUUCUCAAAAAAAAAAAAAAAAAAAAAAAGUCAUUUUACCAUAUGCCUGUCAGGUUUACAUUUUUUACUUCAUUUGAUAAGACAAUGAUUUAUUUUAUUUAAAUUCUAAAUUCAUAUCUGAAUUAAAAUAACUAUUAUAUUGUUAAGUAGGUUUUCUUCAUCAUUAUUUUUCAGAAAACUGGAGAAAGUGUAGGGAGCUCCAAAGCAGUACAUACACUUACCACACCAAUGCCAUUAUUUUCCAGAGUACUUCUUCCUCCUUCACCCAGUUUCUUUAUUAUGAAAUUUAACUUCCAAGAAUAAAGGUUUUUCCACUUACAACUAAUAUGCCCUAUUCUGCUUCAUGAAGAGUAGAGGGAGAAAUAGCACCCAGGACUAUUCUGGAGACAUUAAUACCUGAUCUCUGUUGCACUGUUUGUGAUUUGGGCAUAUUUUAAGGUAAUUUAUACAGUUAUUAUUUCCCUCUUUUUUGACAUCCAGGUAAGAAGUGCAAUGAAUCUUCAUGAUCAAAAACUCAUUAAAACUAAAUAAAAUAAAAAUAAAUGUACUUAAGUCUAUAAAUAAUCAUAGUGCUUUGUAGUUAAGGAAGUUAAGUAGUUAAGAAAAAAGAGUCCAGGCGGGGUGCAGUAGCUCACGCCUGUAAUCCCAGAACUUUGGGAAGCCAAGGUGGAUGGAUCACCUGAGGUCAGGAGUUCGAGACCAGCCUGGCCUCGAACAUGGUGAAACCCUGCCUCUACUAAAAAUACAAAAAUUAGCUGGGUGUGGUGACACACGCCUGUAAUCCCAGCUACCUGGGAGGCUGAGGCAGGAGAAUCGCUUGAACCUGGGAGGCAGAGGUUGCAGUGAGCCAAGAUCGCACCAUUGCACUCCAUCCUGGGUGACAGAGCAAGACUCCAUCUCAAAAAAAGAAAGAAAAAAGAAAAAGUGCAAUUAGAGCUGGAGUUAAAAGUGGGGAGUCAUGGUCAGGAGUUGUUCUUCAUGUCUCUCAAACACCAUGUGUUUUCUACCAUCCUUGUUUCUCCCUUUGCAUCUCCACUCUCCAGUGACUUUCUCUGCUUCCCACUGGACCCCCACUUUUACAAUACAUAACUAUUUCAAUGCCAGCCAUUAUCUAACAUUUCUCGGUAUGUCUCCGUUCAAAUUAGAGAAAGAAAGAGGUCUGAAUGUUAUUUAUACUUUCUCCAUAGAGAUUCUAAGGAAGACAAUAUUAAUGACAGUUCUUUGUUUACUGAAUGGGACGAGGAAUGUGCCAAUAAAAGAUUAUAUAAGAAAUGAGAUUUAAAAUUUUUCAGGGAGAAGGAAAAGUUAAGAGAAAGAUGAAUCAUCUUGAGAGACAAUAAGACAAUUUGAUGAGUUGCUGGAAAUGAUACAGUGUUUAAAUGAGAACUUCUGUUACAUGUUUUUGUAUAUUGUGUGAUAGAAUUCUCUUUUGUUUCCUCAUCGAACCUUCUGUAAUAUCUCUUUUGGCUAACCUUUGUGAGGCCAAGAUUGCCUUCUGUGCCUGUGAUUAAGAAGUGUUAAGUCCAGGUAUAGCUUGAGAAAGCACAGAGACCACACUCAGUAAUGUAGUCACACCUAUGGAAUAGAAAAACACCCAGACUCUUUAGUUUCCUAAACUAACAGCAUUACUGUUAGUUUUGCAGCAUUACUGACAAGAAAUCAUUCUCUCAUACCCCAAAUCCAGCCAAGAUGAGCUCGUUUCUAUAGGCCCCUUGUUUUUACAUAUUUCUGUGCCUUUGCUCAUGUUAUUCUACCUCCUCAUCAAAAACCAUUUCAGCAAUUGUGGAAACUACUCUGCAUCAACACCCAACCCAAAUGCUACUCUUUGUAGCUAAAAUUAACCUCUCCUUCUCAACUCUCAUAGCACUUGGUUUGGUACUCAUAUAAUACCUCUAUCACAUUUGCCUUGCAUUAAACUUAAUGAUUGUAUGCUUCAUAUAUCCUAUCAGAAUAUAAGCAACAUCUUAUAUACCUCAGAUUCUCCAAAGAAGCCAGGCUCAGUGCAUGACAUAUAUGAACACUCAGUAAAUGUUUCUUGAAUUAAAUGAAAAGGUCAGUAACUCAGUUCGCUGUGUCUUUUUUUCCAGAUUUUUACAGUACAACAGUAGAAAAUAGUAAGCUAAAACAUGUACACUUAAAUAAAUGCAUUUUCAUAAUGAAGACAUUUUGGCUUCUUACUGGUAAAUAAUGAGCUUUCCUCUACCUGCCAUGUAGUCUGUUCUGAAGAUAAAUAGAAGUAUGAAUAUGCAAACACUUUGGGAAGAGAAAACAUGCUACAUAAAUAAGAGAGUGUUUAUUGCUGUAACUACUACAUGGAGUCCAUCCUCAUAACUCAGUGUUUCUCUGUAUUAUAGGGAAUCAUGAUAGCUUAGGAUAAUCUGAAGUCCCCGAGUGAAUGCUCCUCAAAUUGUGAACUGUGGACCAGUACCAGUCUGAGAACUGUUACUAGUCUAUACGGAGAUAAGUAUAAACAUUGGGACUAAGCAUUUAAAAAUUUGUAUAGCAAUUUGAUAGAAUGACUGCUGAAUUUAAUAAUAAAUAUGUGACUAUAUCCAUAUGCCUUUCUCUUAUUAAUUUCCUUUUGCCAGCAAUAGAUUUUCAUUGAUUAUAUAAUACAGUUGAUACACAACAGAUUGCCAGCAAAAAUAAAACAACAUCAAAAAACCUGGUACUUCAAUAUAGAUAGGUUGAGAACCAAUGUUAUAGAUAAUUCUCUCCAGAAUGGAAGAUACCCACAUUAUGAACAUGGAAGUUCUGGGGAAAAGAAGGAACAUAAAUUUGUAGAUAUUGUGGGUUAUAAAAUACUAGUUUCAACAAAGGUUAAUAUAAAAGAACAAGAGAGUGAAUGGUAAUGAGAAUAAAGCAUAAUGUGACAGUCUGAUUCAUAAUAUUCAUUUUGAUCAUCUUUUUAAAGCUUUUUGUACAUCUUUAACAAUCUUCUGCAGGCUCCUCUCUCUAGGAACUGAACUUACAUCUGGAACUUUCAGAGAAACUAACAUUCUUUUCUGUUGUUAAGUGAAUGUGGGGGUUUUGUUGGCUUGAAGAAAACAACUAUGCACCCAUUUAAUUGAUAUUAACAGUAAUUCCCCAGUCAUCUAUAAAUUUUCUCUGUGAAAAAGUCCUUCAGGAAGCCAAUAAAUUAUUGUCUUUAAAAUACAAUUGAGCUUUAGUAAUCCUUUGCUUUUUUGCCAGUUUAACAUUGACCUUUUAUGAAAGUUUUCUUAAGUUGGGUCGAGAUGACAUUUGGAGCAAACAAUAUGUGGUCUUCUUAUUGUCAGAACAUUUUGUUUUUCCAGAUUACCAAGAUAACAUAUUUCACGGGGGUUUAGAAUAUGUUCUAUAGAUUUCUCAAACUACUGAAAAUGAUAAUUUGCAAGUAUAUUAAAAUUUAACAUUUAUGAAUCAUAUUACAAAUGUUGACUUGAGAAAUCUUGGUUUCAUUACUUAGAUCACAAAAUUGGAGGACGAGGACUGAAUUAGACAUCAAGCUUUGUGCUGUGCCUUCUGUGGUAGUAUUGCUCAAAAAAGAUUCUUCAUGUAGGGGAGGUAGAGUUCCCAACAAUGCAUCCAUUUAGACAAAACAGCGGGGUGUGCUGGGGGUGGGGGUUGUUGAGCCAUUUAUAAAAUACCUUUAACUUUGCUAUAUUUCAUUUGUGUUUUACUUCCUUUUGCUGCUAGGCAAAUCUGGCCCCCUGCUGCACAGGUCCCAUGUGAACUGAAAUUGGGAAACUAAGAAGCCCUGUGUGAUGGGUUUCUGGGGCUCACACACCAUCUCUACUUUUCUCCUUCUACCUUUCAGGCUCUGAUUAUCUUCACUCAUUUCACAAAGUAGCCCAUUUUUCUUCAGCAGUCUUUAAAAAGGGGAAUUGGGAUGUUUUAUGUAGAUAAUAAUACUCCAAUAAAGAGAAAAUCAGUUUCCUGCUGACCAAAUUGCUUCCUCUAUAUAUUAAUAUCCAAAUCUGCUCUAAAGCAUGUGCAUUUAAAGUUACUUCUUAUAUAACUGUUUGUGGGGGAGAGAGUAAAGAAAGUCUAAAUUACACCCACUAAAAGUUCUGAAAGUUUUAACUUUUGAAAUUCUUUAGUUCAGUAAGCACAGAUUUAAAUCCAAAAAGACAAUCAUUGUGAAAAUGAGAUGACUUCUUGAUUUUUGACCUUAUCUUUGCCUCUUGACCUUGCUAUCUUAGGAAUUCUUGAUGGCCUUUUUCUGAAUCUUUUUCCAAUCUAACUUUAAGACUCUGUUCCCAAAGCAUGCUGUAGGCGUAACACAUUUUCUUCAGGCAUGAGUUUAGCUGCAGCUGCUCCAGGACACACCCCCUGCAGACUCUUGACUUCCCAAUCCAUCAGACCAUCCAUCCCUCAACAGGCCUCCCAUUCUCCUGCCUCUGCCUUCCCUCUCAAUGUGAUCAGAUCCAUCACAUCUGAUCCUAAGCUGCUUUAGGUAUGUUGUUUUGAUCUCCAUUUGCCUUCUUCCCUGUUCUUAUUGACAACGCAGGCUUCCUAAACACAUAGUAGCUAGCUCCAUCUCCAUCAUCACUCAGUUACCCCUUUUCUUUUAAAUUCAUCUUCACUCCCAAACCCAAUUCUGACCUCAAGUGCUCAAGAGGAAAAUCCAGACAUCUUGGGAUAUGAUCAGCCAUCUUAAUCAUGAAAUUGAGAGUGAGGGUGAUUUCAACAGUGGCCAACCUUUCUCUGGCUCCACCCUAUAGUUCUCUUUUACCCUUAGUUAAAUUGUGAGCCCUAUUUUGCGGAAUGUACUUGUAUCAAUGACAUUAUUUUACCUAUACCUGACCAUUUACUAGAACUUAAAUAAUCUCAGUAACUCAUGCUCCAAUGGAAGCAGGAAGAGAGUCAGGCAAGCUUGAUGUGUCUUGUUGUUUGGUGACAAGGUUCUUGACAGUAUACCUCUAUCAUCUAUGCUUAUCUACUCUUGAUUGUUUAAAAAGCUGCCAACUUAGAAACCUAAAAUGCAAUUUUCCAUUGUGCUUACUACUUUCCACCCUCUCAGGCUGAUGUCUAUGCCUUGCCCUGAACUGCCCUCCACCUGCGGCAUCCUAUGUGAGCAUUUCACUUGGCACCAGCAGCAGAUGCUUUCUAUGGCAAAUCAGCUGUGAAAGCUCAUCAGCCUAGACUUUUCACCCGAGUCCAUUUAAACUUGAAUGUAUAAGAUGUGACAGACAUAACUAGGCGUAUCUUUCCAAUUUACCGUCUUAGCCUUAUGCUUGGAACAAGCAAGAAGAUUUGGUCUGUUCCUCAGGUAUUAGGAAGAAUACCAAAAGCUUCCUGUCAUGAAUAACACUCCUUUCUACACUAAUCCUUCAAAUCUCAGUGAAUUUCUUGAGAACAAAUAGAAUUGACCUCUCCAGAGACUGACUUCUCUCUCAUUGGGUUACAAUAUAACAAAUUUCAUCUUUUUGAAGUGAGCAAUCUGUCAGUUUCAACACAUAAUUUCUCUUUUUCCCCAUAUUUACAUCUGGAGCCAAAACUGAUUCUUUUCACUUGCCAGCAACUCUCAGAAGAAUUAAGAUGGUUUUGUUUAUACCUAUGUAUCUUUCUGUCUAUCUAUAUACCUAUUUACCCAUCUAUUAUUUAAUAUGGUCCCUACCUUAGUCUCUGGUCUAGGUGACUGUCUUUUGAAUGAUCUCAUGUACUCUCUCUUCUACUCACCUAUCCAUUGGUUUCUUCUUUCUUUCCACCUUAUGGCUCCUGUUCCGCUGGCUUUCACCAGGCUAAGACUGUUUUGCUUUGCAGUUCCCUCCCUUUUCUGUCUGCUGCUCUGCUCCUAGACUAACACAAUCCUAUCGAACCUUUUGCUUAUUAUCAUACUACCAUGUGUGAGCUUCAUUUCUGUGGAAUGCUAUCUCUGAGAUGCUAGUCCUCUACACCUGUACAGAUCACAACUGUCGAAGAAAACAAAAGCUAGAUCCUGUCCACUGUUGUACUCCUGGUAGAUGUACUUGGGAAAGCCACUUCAGUGCAAUCCCAAGAAUUGCCGAUGCUGAUAUUUACAUUGUAGAUACACAAUGUGGUCCAUGUUCUAAGUGUUCCAUACAUAUGCACUCAUUAGAUCCUUAGCAACCCAAGGAGGUUUGGAGCAUCAUCGUUCGCAUUCACAGGUAAGAGAUUGAGUCAAAGAAGGAUAAGUGACAUGCUGGUCACACAACUUGUCAGUGAGAACCAGGUUUGAGCCAGGGAGUUUGGUUCCAGAGCUCAUGCUAUUAACCACGAUGCUCCAAAUAGUGUUUCAACAUCUAAUACUUCUGCUUUCCAUCUCUUCUCUUGGCUUCGUGAGGUUCUCCUACAGUCCCAGGCUCCUUUUCAGCCACAUCCUGACAAACUAAAAGGAAAUGAAGAUUCCUUCUUGAACCUUGAAAUCUCAUGAUUUCCUCUCUGCACACCACAUCUUCAUUUCUUUGUGCAAACUGAACUCAGUUCCUUUAUCUUGAUGGCCUUACUCAUGACUCACUUUACCAAAUAUAGAUAGACAUUUGUAAUCCUCUUACAAAUGACAUUUCCCGUCAGGAAGGGCAGCACCAGAGACAGCAUAGCUCCUCUAAGGAUGUGCACAGCCUCAACUCAGCUCCCAGCUCUUGAGAUUGUAGAAUGAAAGUCUUUAUUUUCCUGUUUAUAUUACUUGAUGACCAUUACAGAGUUUAAGUCAUUGUAAAGCACAGACAAUUAUUUGUAAUCUGUUACCUUCUCAAUGAGGGAUGAAAACCAACCACAUAAUAAGGCAGGCUUUUAAUCAGAACAGCUGGUGUGAUGUCAAAGGAAGGAGCACUGGCUCACACACUCACAAGAUGAGGUCCCACAGUAGGUCUUUGCAAGCUGAAGAGCAAGGAAAUUCUGAGUCCCAAAGCUGAAGAAACUGGGAGUCUGAUGUUUGAGGCCAGGAAGCAUCCAGCACGGGAGAAAGAUGUAGGCCAGAAGACUAAACCAGUCUAGUCUUUUCACGUUCUUCUGCCUGCCUUUAUUUGGCUGUGCUAACAGCUGAUUAGAUGGUGCCCACCCAGAUUAAGGGUGGGUCUGCCUUUCCCAGUCCACUGACUCAAAUGUUAAUCUCCUUUGGCAACACCCUCACAGACACACCCAGGAUCAAUACUUUGCAUCCUUCAAUCCAAUCAAGCUGACACUCAGUAUUAACCAUCACAUCUUCUGUGCUUGACACAUAGUGGACCUUCAAUAGAUGUUUCAUGAAUGGCAAUGGUUGUCUCAGCUGAUUUAUAACAUAAAGUUAAUGAGACCAAGUUCAUAUUCAUUUGACUGAACAUACUUCUUUUGGAACCAAAACACACUGUAUCUUUAUUUUCAGCCAGAAACUCACCAUAUACUGUAUCCUUAUUGCCAUCACCCAAGUUACUCAUUAGCCACAAAAGAAAAUGAGCCAGAGAAUGCUUCCAAUUUAAUAUAACGUACAGAACUUUUCAACAAAGGCUGAUAAUGUCACUUUCAUAUACCAAGAGCAGCAUAAGUAUAUAAAUAGAUAGAUUGAUUUAAGUAGAUACAUACAUACGUGUAAAUAUACACAUAUACACACAAUGCAUAUAUGUGUGUGCAUAUAUAUAAAAUAUAGUGUAUGUGUUUAAACUGAAAAGAUGUGUGAAUCGAUGUUAUCAUUAUGUGUAUAAUAGAUUGUUAUAAUUGCAAGGGGAAAACAGUUAAUUGCUCAUUAUCACAGGCCUGACACACAUUGAAGUUUUAGUGUGUAUUCGAAUGAUCCCACUGAAUAGUUAAUACAUUUAAAGCAAAUAAAAAUAAAAGGCUUUUAAAAAAUUGUGUUAAAGCUCUUUACACAACAACUUUUAUUCCACUUUCUGUCAAAGCUUAUGUGUUUCCAAGGGAGUACAGUAAUUGUGCAUUUUCUAUUUUUAAAUCAUUCAUUGUUCUAGUUAAAUAUUAUGAAUGUAUGCCAAUUCUUAAAAGAGCCAUGCAGAGAUAGUAGGUAUAAUUGUGUUGUACUCAAAAUAAAUUCAUGGUUAAAGCAAAUAUUUAACAACUGCCAAAUACUGGAUUGCAUGUAGAAAACGAAUCCUGUAUAGCUCUGGUAAAUUAAAGCUUCAAUCCAAACCUUCCUUCUGUGCUUUAUAAUUAGAAAACCAAAUGAGGAACUUCUCUGGGCAGCCUGGUUUAAAAAGCCCACCUGUUUUCUGUUUUUGAAAAUAUAUUUUUUCAAGUUAAUAUGUUUAAAUAAAGGAUUCAGAUGACUCAAAAAAAAAAAACUGGAACUGAAUUGUAGACUAAAGAAUACCUUCUCGUAUUUAAAUUACUAUGUAUAUUGUGGUAUGCUGCAAUAUGUUAACUGGCUUAUAAGACAUUAAUUACAAAUAAAAUGCACUGAAAAAG